RNAcentral lists this transfer RNA (73 nucleotides) under Cordylochernes scorpioides. RNAcentral's name for it is "tRNA-Thr". Lineage: Eukaryota; Metazoa; Arthropoda; Arachnida; Pseudoscorpiones; Chernetidae. The record is from RNAcentral.
GUCCAGGGAUGGGAAACGAACCCACAGUGUUCCGCUUACCGGGCAGAUGCCAUAUCCACUAGGCUACCCUGGA